Molecule: ribosomal RNA, 468 nt
Filed under: uncultured bacterium
Lineage: Bacteria
Description: partial 16S ribosomal RNA
Rfam family: Bacterial small subunit ribosomal RNA
Source: RNAcentral
GACGAACGCUGGCGGCGUGCUUAACACAUGCAAGUCGAUCGGAAAGGCCCUGCUUUUGUGGGGUGCUCGAGUGGCGAACGGGUGAGUAACACGUGAGUAACCUGCCCUUGACUUUGGGAUAACUUAAGGAAACUGGGGCUAAUACCGGAUAGGAGCUCCUGCUGCAUGGUGGGGGUUGGAAAGUUUCGGCGGUUGGGGAUGGACUCGCGGCUUAUCAGCUUGUUGGUGGGGUAGUGGCUUACCAAGGCUUUGACGGGUAGCCGGCCUGAGAGGGUGACCGGCCACAUUGGGACUGAGAUACGGCCCAGACUCCUACGGGAGGCAGCAGUGGGGAAUAUUGCACAAUGGGCAGAAGCCUGAUGCAGCAACGCCGCGUGCGGGAUGACGGCCUUCGGGUUGUAAACCGCUUUCGCCUGUGACGAAGCGUGAGUGACGGUAAUGGGUAAAGAAGCACCGGCUAACUACGUG